RNAcentral lists this ribosomal RNA (315 nucleotides) under uncultured eukaryote. RNAcentral describes it as "partial 18S ribosomal RNA". It matches the Rfam family "Eukaryotic small subunit ribosomal RNA", at positions 1470 to 1796 of the family's 1831-position model. The record is from RNAcentral.
CCCUUAGACGUUCUGGGCCGCACGCGCGCUACACUGACCAGUGCAACAAGCAUCCGUCCUUGGCCGACAGGCCCGGGCAAUCUUUGAGCGCUGGUCGUGAUGGGGAUAGACUUUUGCAAUUUUUGGUCUUCAACGAGGAAUUCCUAGUAAACGCAAGUCAUCAACUUGCAUUGAUUACGUCCCUGCCCUUUGUACACACCGCCCGUCGCACCUACCGAUUGAAUGGUCCGGUGAAGCCUCCGGAUUGGCGCGCACCUCGGUGCCGCCGAGAAGUUGGCUAAACCUUACCAUUUAGAGGAAGGUGAAGUCGUAACA